This 505-nucleotide ribosomal RNA is filed under the name uncultured bacterium. RNAcentral describes it as "partial 16S ribosomal RNA". It matches the Rfam family "Bacterial small subunit ribosomal RNA", at positions 28 to 507 of the family's 1533-position model. The record is from RNAcentral.
GACGAACGCUGGCGGCGUGCCUAAUACAUGCAAGUAGAACGCACAGUUUAUACCGUAGCUUGCUACACCAUAGACUGUGAGUUGCGAACGGGUGAGUAACGCGUAGGUAACCUGCCUGGUAGCGGGGGAUAACUAUUGGAAACGAUAGCUAAUACCGCAUAAUAUUGAUUAUUGCAUGAUAAUUGAUUGAAAGAUGCUAUUGCAUCACUACCAGAUGGACCUGCGUUGUAUUAGCUAGUAGGUGAGGUAACGGCUCACCUAGGCGACGAUACAUAGCCGACCGUGGAGGGGGGACGGCCCCCACGGGAAUUGGAACCGGCCCAGACCCCUACGGGAGGCAGCAGUAGGGAAUUUUCGGAAAUGGACGAAAGGCUGACCGAGCAACGCCGCGUGAGGGAAGAAGGUUUUCGGAUCGUAAAGCUCUGUUGUAAGAGAAGAACGGGUGGGAGAGGGGAAAGUUCACACUGUGACGGUACCUUACCAGAAAGGGACGGCUAACUACGUG